CCUACGGGGGGCAGCAGUGAGGAAUAUUGGUCAAUGGGCGUAAGCCUGAACCAGCCAUGCCGCGUGAGGGAUGACGGUUCUAUGGAUCGUAAACUUCUUUUAUACGGGGGUAAAGUGUGUGACGUGUACUGUUUUGACUGUAACGUACGAAUAAGGAUCGGCUAACUCCGUGCCAGCAGCAGCGGUACUACGGAGGAUCCGAGCGUUAUCCGGAUUUAUUGGGUUUAAAGGGUGCGUAGGCGGCCUUUUAAGUUAGCGGUGAAAUACCGUGGCUCAACCUCUGGAUUGCCGUUGAAACUGGGGGCCUAGAGAAUGUUUGAGGCAGGCGGAAUGCGUGGUGUAGCGGUGAAAUGCUUAGAUAUCACACAGAACCCCGAUUGCGAAGGCAGCUUGCCAAGCCAUAUCUGACGCUGAGGCACGAAAGCGUGGGGAGCAAACAGGAUUAGAUACCCGAGUAGUC
RNAcentral lists this ribosomal RNA (460 nucleotides) under uncultured bacterium. Its description in RNAcentral is "partial 16S ribosomal RNA". It matches the Rfam family "Bacterial small subunit ribosomal RNA", at positions 338 to 795 of the family's 1533-position model. The record is from RNAcentral.